UACAGAGGUCUCAAGCGUUGUUCGGAUUCAUUGGGCGUAAAGGGUGCGUAGGCGGCGCGGUAAGUCGGGUGUGAAAUCUCGGGGCUUAACUCCGAAACUGCAUUCGAUACUGCCGUGCUUGAGGACUGGAGAGGAGACUGGAAUUUACGGUGUAGCGGUGAAAUGCGUAGAUAUCGUAAGGAAGACCAGUGGCGAAGGCGGGUCUCUGGACAGUUCCUGACGCUGAGGCACGAAGGCCAGGGGAGCAAACGGG
Molecule: ribosomal RNA, 253 nt
Filed under: uncultured bacterium
Lineage: Bacteria
Description: partial 16S ribosomal RNA
Rfam family: Bacterial small subunit ribosomal RNA
Source: RNAcentral